Molecule: ribosomal RNA, 497 nt
Filed under: uncultured bacterium
Lineage: Bacteria
Description: partial 16S ribosomal RNA
Rfam family: Bacterial small subunit ribosomal RNA
Source: RNAcentral
GAUGAACGCUGGCGGCGUGCCUAAUACAUGCAAGUCGAGCGAACAGACGAGGAGCUUGCUCCUCUGACGUUAGCGGCGGACGGGUGAGUAACACGUGGAUAACCUACCUAUAAGACUGGGAUAACUUCGGGAAACCGGAGCUAAUACCGGAUAAUAUAUUGAACCGCAUGGUUCAAUAGUGAAAGACGGUUUUGCUGUCACUUAUAGAUGGAUCCGCGCCGCAUUAGCUAGUUGGUAAGGUAACGGCUUACCAAGGCAACGAUGCGUAGCCGACCUGAGAGGGUGGGAGGCCACAAUGGAACAGAGACACGGUCCGGACAACUCCGGGAGGCAGCAGUCGGGGAGCGGGAGGAAUGGGCGCAAGUCUGAUGUAGCAAUGACGGGGGAGUGAGAAAGGUGUACGUAUCGAUAAACUCGUUGACGAGUCAAGAACAAAUGGGCAAGGAAAGAUGCACGUCGGGACGGGACCGAAGAAGAGAGCCAGGGCGAACGAGGUG